RNAcentral lists this small RNA (533 nucleotides) under Pongo abelii (Sumatran orangutan). Its description in RNAcentral is "retained intron". The record is from RNAcentral. Lineage: Eukaryota; Metazoa; Chordata; Mammalia; Primates; Hominidae.
CACGAAUAAAGUGGGCUGGAGAGCAGUGGCUCAUCUAAAUGGGAUAGCCCUACAUAGCUAUAGAUUGUAGAUUCAGUUGAUCAAAGGAGGCUAGAUAUUUUUAUUUUUAAAAAAUGUAUAAAGUUAGUAAUUAAUUCAAAGAAAUAUUAAAAACAUAGUGCUGGCAAAUAAAACCAUCUAUGGUUUACAUUUGGCCUUUUAAUUAUAAAUUUAAUGUGCCGGUACUUAUCUAACAUGCUUUCUUUUAUUUAGGGUGUUCAAAAAGAGGAAAGAGAGAAGUACCGAAAGUUAUUGGAACGACUUAAAGAAAGUGGUCAUGGAAACUCUGUCUGUCCUGUAACUUCAAAUUAUCACAGUUCUCAAAGAAGUCAGAUGGACACACUAAAGACCAAAGGCUGGGGGGAAGAGCAAAAUCACGGAGUCAAAACAACUCAGUUUGUUCCAAAACAAUAUAGACUUGUUGAAACAAGGGGACCUCUAUGUUCAUUGAGAAGUGAAAAGAGGUGUUCAAAGGGGAAAAUUACUGAUACAGA